UACGGGUGGCGAGUGGCGGACGGGUGAGUAAUAGGUAGGAAUCUGUCCUAGUGACCGGGACAACCCGAGGAAACUCGGGCUAAUACCGGGCGAUAUCGAAAGAUCAAAGCAGGGGACUUUACGCGAGUAAGGCCUUGCGCACUGGGGUGAGCCUACGUCGGAUUAGCUAGUUGGUGGGGUAAAGGCCUACCAAGGCGACGAUCCGUAGCUGGUCUGAGAGGAUGAUCAGCCACAUUGGGACUGAGACACGGCCCAAACUCCUACGGGAGGCAGCAGUGGGGAAUAUUGGACAAUGGGGGAAACCCUGAUCCAGCAAUGCCGCGUGUGUGAAGAAGGCCUUCGGGUUGUAAAGCACUUUAGGUGGGGAAGAAAGGUAACGGGCGAACACCCCGUUAUUUUGACGGUACCCGCAGAAUAAGCACCGGCUAACUCUGUGCCAGCAGCCGCGGUAAUACAGAGGGUGCGAGCGUUAAUCAGAAUGACUGGGCGUAAAGGGCGUGUAGGUGGUUGACUAGGUUUGAUGUGAAAUCCCCGGGCUUAACCUGGGAAUGGCGUCGAAAACGGGUCGACUCGAGUGAGACAGAGGGUUGUGGAAUUUCCGGUGUAGCGGUGAAAUGCGUAGAUAUCGGAAAGAACAUCAGUGGCGAAGGCGACAACCUGGGUCUUAACUGACACUGAGGCGCGAAGGCGUGGGGAGCAAACA
This 703-nucleotide ribosomal RNA is filed under the name uncultured Rickettsiella sp. RNAcentral describes it as "bacterial SSU rRNA". It matches the Rfam family "Bacterial small subunit ribosomal RNA", at positions 83 to 774 of the family's 1533-position model. The record is from RNAcentral. Lineage: Bacteria; Pseudomonadati; Pseudomonadota; Gammaproteobacteria; Legionellales; Coxiellaceae.